CGCGGUUUGGAGGAAAAGGGUUGGCGAAAGAAGAUUGGCCUGUCCAGAGAAUCUGCUUUGAAGAAAAAGUUGGAGGCCGUCAAUCACCUCCUCAUCAUUGCAAAUUCUUCAAAGGCCUCGAGGGGUGUGUGCGCGCGUGUGUGAAGAAGGCCCUCAAGGUUAAAAAGAUGAAACUCGAAAGGCAAUCCCAUUUUGGUCAAACCGGAGGCUCGAAGAGUCGAAGGAAAUUUUGGAAAACGCGGUCUUUGGCUUCUGGACCAUUUGAAAGAAGACGAACAGGAAGGUAACAUGCAUGAUUGGAUGGGAGAGCUUUGGAAGAGAAGGCCAGACAAAUAAUUGAGCACAUGAGCUGAAAUUUUGCAUAUGAUCUUGAAAUCGAGCUUUCUCCAAUCACAUUUUAAGUGGCAUCAUGCUUUCGUGUUAUUACAGAUGCGAUUCAUAUUCGAGCAAGCAGGAUAUCUUUACAUUGGCAUGCAUGGUGGGGCCAUGUAUCGAUGCUUCGGCCUCUCAUUUUUGUAGAGGGGAAUAAAAUAACUUGCCAUAAGUUUCUGCUAUUUUGAGAUGUUGCGGGUUAGGGGAUUAGAUUAUAUCUUUCAUGCAAAAAAAAUAGAGACUAAUCCUCUUUUGUGAUGUUAACUAUUAGAUCAUAUAUUGCACAAA
Non-coding RNA from Elaeis guineensis (African oil palm), 660 nucleotides. The record is from RefSeq and is a predicted model, not a curated record. NCBI's taxonomy places the organism in Eukaryota, Viridiplantae, Streptophyta, Magnoliopsida, Arecales, Arecaceae.